This 458-nucleotide ribosomal RNA is filed under the name uncultured bacterium. RNAcentral describes it as "partial 16S ribosomal RNA". It matches the Rfam family "Bacterial small subunit ribosomal RNA", at positions 338 to 795 of the family's 1533-position model. The record is from RNAcentral.
CCUACGGGAGGCAGCAGUGAGGAAUAUUGGUCAAUGGGCGAGAGCCUGAACCAGCCAAGUCGCGUGAGGGAGUACUGCCCUAUGGGUUGUAAACCUCUUUUGUCGGGGAGCAAAAUCCGGACGUGUCCGGCUUUGAGAGUACCCGAAGAAAAAGCAUCGGCUAACUCCGUUCCAGCAUCCGCGGUAAUACGGAGGAUGCGAGCGUUAUCCGGAUUUAUUGGGUUUAAAGGGUGCGCAGGCGGAUUUUUAAGUCAGCGGUAAAAGCGUGGGGCGCAACCCCAGCCAGCCGGUGAAACUGGGGAUCUAGAGUGUGCGAGAGGUAUGCGGAAUGCGUGGUGUAGCGGUGAAAUGCAUAGAUAUCACGCAGAACCCCGAUUGCGAAGGCAGCAUACCGGUGCACAACUGACGCUCAGGCACGAAAGCGUGGGUAUCGAACAGGAUUAGAUACCCUUGUAGUC